RNAcentral lists this ribosomal RNA (460 nucleotides) under uncultured bacterium. RNAcentral's name for it is "partial 16S ribosomal RNA". It matches the Rfam family "Bacterial small subunit ribosomal RNA", at positions 338 to 795 of the family's 1533-position model. The record is from RNAcentral.
CCUACGGGUGGCAGCAGUGAGGAAUAUUGGUCAAUGGGCGCGAGCCUGAACCAGCCAAGUAGCGUGAAGGAUGACUGCCCUACGGGUUGUAAACUUCUUUUAUAAAGGAAUAAAGUGAUGCACGUGUGCCUUUUUGUAUGUACUUUAUGAAUAAGGAUCGGCUAACUACGUGCCAGCAGCCGCGGUAAUACGGAGGAUCCGAGCGUUAUCCGGAUUUAUUGGGUUUAAAGGGAGCGUAGAGGGGUUGUUAAGUCAGUUGUGAAAGUUUGUGGCUCAACCGUAAGAUUGCAAUUGAUACUGGCAGCCGUGAGUACAGUUGAGGUAGGCGGAAUUCGUGGUGUAGCGGGGAAAUGCUUAGAUAUCACGAAGAACUCCGAUUGCGAAGGCAGCCUACUAAACUGCCACUGACAUUGAUGCUCGAAAGUGUGGGUAUCAAACAGGAGUAGAUACCCUAGUAGUC